This 360-nucleotide transfer-messenger RNA is filed under the name Campylobacter coli. It matches the Rfam family "transfer-messenger RNA". From Rfam's summary of the family: Bacterial tmRNA, also known as 10Sa RNA or SsrA, is named for its dual tRNA and mRNA-like properties. Its role is to liberate the mRNA from a stalled ribosome. To accomplish this part of the tmRNA is used as a reading frame that ends in a translation stop signal. RNAcentral also lists the same sequence under 1 other name. Lineage: Bacteria; Pseudomonadati; Campylobacterota; Epsilonproteobacteria; Campylobacterales; Campylobacteraceae. The record is from RNAcentral.
GGGAGCGACUUGGCUUCGACAGGAGUAAGUCUGCUUAGAUGGCAUGUCGCUUUGGACAAAGCGUAAAAAGUCCAAAUUAAAAUUAAACGCAAAUAACGUUAAAUUUGCUCCUGCUUACGCUAAAGCUGCGUAAGUUCAGUUGAGCCUGAAAUUUAAGUCAUACUAUCUAGCUUAAUUUUCGGUCAUCUUUGAUAGUGUAGCCUUGCGUUUGACAAGCGUUGAGGUGAAAUAAGGUCUUAGCCUUGCUUUUGAGUUUUGGAAGAUGAGCGAAGUAGGGUGAAGUAGUCAUCUUUUCUAAGCAUGUAGAAGUCUUUGUGGGGUUAUUUUUGGACAGGGGUUCAAUUCCCCUCGCUUCCACCA